RNAcentral lists this small RNA (93 nucleotides) under Salmonella enterica. RNAcentral's name for it is "partial RtT sRNA". It matches the Rfam family "RtT RNA", at positions 46 to 130 of the family's 130-position model. Rfam says of the family: This family represents a bacterial cis-regulatory element known as RtT RNA. The exact function of RtT is unknown although it is thought that it may be involved in changing the cellular response in relation to amino acid starvation. The record is from RNAcentral. Lineage: Bacteria; Pseudomonadati; Pseudomonadota; Gammaproteobacteria; Enterobacterales; Enterobacteriaceae.
CAUCAAACUCAGAUGUUGAACGUGAAGGAUAACGUUGCGUCAGCAACGGCCCGUAGGGCGAGGCGAAGCCGAGUUAUCCUGCACGACCCACCA